Molecule: transfer RNA, 116 nt
Filed under: Candidatus Woesearchaeota archaeon
Lineage: Archaea; Nanobdellati; Candidatus Woesearchaeota
Description: tRNA-Ile
Source: RNAcentral
GAGCCCGUAGCUUAGCCUGGCUGGAGCGCACGACUGAUACUGAUUCAGUCCUGUAUAUUGCUUUAGCAAUAUCAACAGAUAUCGUGAGGUCCCGUGUUCAAAUCACGGCGGGCUCA